CUUUCCAAAGAGGUUCUCGUCCAGGUCGCGUCGCUUGAGCGAUCACAUGCGAUCUGGAGCGCCCUAGGGAACAUGUUCUCUGCUGUCUCCCUCUCUCGCACCAACAACAUCCGAGCCGCUCUCACCAACGCACAGAAGGCGUUUCAAUCCGCCUCAGCGUACUUCGGCCACAUGCGCUCGCUCUCUGAUGAACUCGCGGCGGCGGGCAAACCCAUCAGAGAGCCAGAGCUCAUCUCCUUCAUCAAUGCGGGCCUCGACAUGGAAUAUCAGCCGAUCGUCUCUGCGCUGGACGUCCGCACCGAGCCAAUCACCAUUGACAUCCUCUUCUCCAUGGUGGCGAACUUCGACCAGCGGGUCGAGAUGUUCCACGGCAACGGCGGCGCCUUCAAGUCAUCGGCAAACAUUGCUUCUCGCAGCCGAGGCAACAAGGGCAACUACCGCAACCAGAAGGGCAACAGCGGUGGCUCCCGUGGCGGCGGUGGCUACGGUGGCGACGGGGGCUACGGUGGCACCAGCCACGGCAAUGGAGGCGGCGGCUACAACAGUGGUGGCGGCUACCACCAGAACAACAACCAAGGCGGCGGCUGGGGCUAUCAUGGUGGUGGUGGCGGCUACCAUCACCAGGGCCCCCCAAAUGGCAACAACAACACUCGGCGCCCCCCCCCCCCAGCAACAACAACAGGGGGCGCAACUUCCAAGGCUAUGAGGACUACGAGGGUAAAUGUCAAAUUUGCAAGAAAACAAAUCACAUAG
RNAcentral lists this ribosomal RNA (753 nucleotides) under Triticum aestivum (bread wheat). Its description in RNAcentral is "partial small subunit ribosomal RNA". The record is from RNAcentral. Lineage: Eukaryota; Viridiplantae; Streptophyta; Magnoliopsida; Poales; Poaceae.